This 23943-nucleotide long non-coding RNA is filed under the name Lactuca sativa (garden lettuce). RNAcentral describes it as "long non-coding RNA (LSAT_LNC000191)". The record is from RNAcentral. Lineage: Eukaryota; Viridiplantae; Streptophyta; Magnoliopsida; Asterales; Asteraceae.
UUCUAUUUUAGAAUUCAUAACAUUAGAAAAAAAAACCUUCAAUUUUCAGUUCUUAUACACAAAGAACUACAAAACAAAACAUAAACAAACUUCCAAUUCACAUAUAAUUUCGAAAUUCAUAUAUUAGAACAAACAAUUUCAGAUUUCAGUUCUUGUACACAAAGAACUACAAAAAAGAACAAAAAAAGCUUAUCAUAUGAACAUACAGGUUGAGAAUUCAUAAUAUUCUAACAUAUACUAAUUUGAUUUCAUAAAGAACUACAAAUUUCAUACCAUCAAAGCAUAAAUGGUAUCUGAUUUUGAAAAUUAUUAACAGAAAAAUUAUCUAACCUGUGUGAUGGAUCGAGAAGGCGUCACUGAUGGCGGUGGCGGAGGUCCGACGAGAUGGCACAGGUCCGACUGGUCGGACUGUUUGGCGUUCAAUGUUGUGGAGUUCUUCCUAGCGGCUGCUGUGCUUUUAGGUCACUAGAAGGGAAGCGAAUGGGGAAAGAAAUAAUAACGACGCAGGGGCAAGAUAAGGGCAAGAUUGUCUAAUUUCCAGUCAGCAACUGUUUAAAAACUGAUCCAGAAAGCGAUUUGGGUCAGCAGAUCUUACCGAGAAAGCUCAAAUCAAACACCAAAGGUCUGACCGAGUCAGCCCAAUUUGCUGACUCGACCCAGUCAGACAUUUAUCAAACACUCCCUUAGAAGUGCACUCUUUAAUAGACCUUGACUGCACACAUCUAUGCUCAUGAACCAAAGUUUUCACCAUCCAAUCGCUUUCUUCAUCAGAUCUAGAAAUUAAUACCACCCAAGGGCAUGUUGCUUUUUGUGAGCUGACUGUUUUAUCCUUGCAUUUGAUUCUACUUUUUGUCCAUGGCCCACCUGUCAUUUUCGGGACCACACCCCUGCAUUUUGCCCUAAUUCUUUUUUUUUUAUCAUUUUUUGAAAAGUAAAUGUUUCUCCUAGUUCGAAUUGAAUGCAUUUUAAUGUAGUCCUUCACUUCUGAUGAGGACUUAAAUAUUUGACCCAGAUGGAAUGCAGUUUCAUGUACUACUCCUGAUGAACAUGUGGUUGGUUUGUUUAACCUUCUCAUUAAUUUCUUCCUCUCAUCUUCUUCUACACCAGUUGAUUCAAAUAAUUGUGUAUCUAUCACCUCCAAAUCCUCAUCAACUGUGACAUCAGGUGCAUUGAAUGAUUGGUGGUUAUCUAGAUUUGGAAAAGAAUAAACACCACUGUGGAAGUCUUUCAUAUUCACUUCGACAUCCUCCACCAUAUUAAGUUCAUCCACUAAAAAGUCACUAUCGUCGCUUAUACUUCCAUCGGUACUAGUCUCAUCACUAAUAACAUCUCCAAUUUCUUCAUUUUCCCCCAUCUGUUGGUAAUCAUUAUGAUCCAUAUAAAAGAAAGGAUCAAAGUCUUCUGAAGGGACAACAUCUUGGGCUUUGUUAAGCUCCUCACUUGCAGGAUGAACUCGAACAUCUUUCACUACAUCUCUAUCAAAAUGUCCAAAAGGUACAACAGACCUAGAAAAGUCAUAGUUCUCAUUCAAGUCCAUUUUUCUACUACAUGAUCCUACCUUUGUACUUGUAAACUUUUUUCGAUUGAGUUCCGGAGAAAUAGGCUCAUUGAUUUCUUCCGAUACGACCUUAUUUGGAGAUAUAAAGUAUGCAUGGAGUCUAGUAGUUCCAUGUUCAGUAUACACCAUAAUCUCUUUAUGAUUAGCAACAUGCUUACUUAACAAAAGUACGUCUGAGUUGUUACCUAAAGGAAGUAACCCAUAAUCGAUUUCAAUCUCAGGAAUCAAGAAGUGGUAGUAGAUAGGCUCACCGUUGAUAUAACCUAUCUCCUUCAUCAUAUCGUCUAACUCAUGUACGGAAAACACGUCCAUGUCUACGUAGUCAACAUAGUCAAUACUCCCACCAACGUAACGUCUUCCUGGGUAUUUUGUGAACAUACCCCCAUGGUGAAUCUUGAAUGUGCAAAAACUACUUAACUCAACUGAAAAACAAAUAAAUAAUGAUAUGAGGAAAGAAUGAAGUCUCAAAAUUGAAUGUGCAUAAAUUACUUAACAAAAUUGAAAGUUGUUAACUGAUCACUCACCAUAAGCUUUGAUCAGGUCAGGAUUUUCUGAGAAUUUUGAACGGACAUUCCACAAAGUUAGAACGAUCGCAAAAGAUGAAAAUGAAAACCCUAGUUUCCGUUUGAUGUUUUGAAGUGAUGAAGAUGAAAAACCAGAGGAGAAAAGAAAGGGAUGAUUUCUUGGGGUAAUGUAAAUGGCAGCUAGAUGUAAGGAUCAUUUAUGAAUAUGAUCAUUUCGUGUAACAAAGCAAAAGACCAAAAUACCCUCGUGUGAGGGUCACGUGAUUUAGAUAAACGGAAACAAUUAAACGGAGUAUGUCAUAAGGACUAUUCGUGCAACAAUUUGGAACCAUAGGGACCAUACUCGUCCAAAAUUCCUCAUAAGGACUAUCUUUGGUCUCUUGUGCCAACCACAGGGACCAUCUGUGUAAUUUUGUCUUUUUUUAAAGAUAGUUCAUAAUUUUUCUAUUAUAUACAUUGUAAAUGAAAUUGAGAACUUAAGUAGGUCCUAGGACCUACCUAAGCACAUGGUGGAUACGCCCCUGUUACCCACACUAACCUCAUACACUUACAACACAAAUGAACUUGAACGGUCUAAGACCAAACCAAGAUAUAAUAUGAAAUGUGUAAGUAUAGUUUAAUAGAUGAAAGUGAGGUGUUGUUUGGGCUUGAAAAGUAGGGGUGAGCAUGGUGCGAUUUUUUGAGAAAACCGAACCGCAAACCGCAAGAUGCGGUUUCUAUAGGGUAAAACCGAUAGGUGUGGUUUUUGUUUCGGCGUGGUUUUACAUGCAUUUUCGGUGUCAUUCGAUGCGGUUUCGGUUUUUAACUGAAAAUAUGUGUUGGUGUGAUUUUUCAUACAUGUGUUGAUCUACCAAAGAAGUAAUAACCCCUAAAGAAGCUAGAGCAAGGCCUAAUUGAAAAUGAAGCCAAUUAUUAAUUGUGUCAUAAAGACCCUCAUGCCCACGUCUCAAUCGCCCUCUUGGAGGGAUAUGUGCAUCUAAAAGAUCUUUCAUACUGUGCCCAAUCCCAAAAUUAGUUCUAUACAUAUGCCCAACAAUAAGAAAAAGAAAUGCAAUAGCUAAAUAAUGAUGAGUCAUAUCAGCAUGUCCAAACCCGACUUUUCAGUUAACUUUCCUUUAUUUCCGGUACAGAUUCUCAUUUAAAUGUAUUUAACAUGCUUGUGAAAUAGUUAUAUGUUAUUCUUAUCAAAAUAUAGACUUCUUUAUGAUAUUACGAUUUUGAGAUUUGAAUUAUAUGUUUGAUGCAACAAGGGAUUUGGUUUUAUAAUCUCAAAUUCCAUUACUUAAUCAUUAUUGUUUAUACAGAUAGAGGCGGCUUUUGAUUCGAAUUGCAUUUUGCUUGUGAUAAGCAAAAGGAAAAUUGUUAAUGGUACGCACUUUGAUACAAAUGUCAAAUUUUAUAAAAAUAUAGCAAAACAUAAGGCAUGCACAGUGGCAAAAAGAACUGAAGAGGUCGAAGUUGAACAAAAUAUACUUUUAUUAAUAAGUAUUAUAAUAUAUUAAAUAUUGUCAGGUUUUUAUGGUGCUGUUUGGCAUUGUCCAAACCGCACCACACCGAAAAAUUACCAAUUAAGGUUGGAUUGGAAUGCAUAAUUAUCAAUUUAUCCUUAAUAAGUCAUAAAUCAACAAAAAUGGCCCAACAAUUUUCUUAAUCUUAAUUGUUGCCUUUGGAUUAGAAAUCAUCAACGAUCAAGAUUGGUUCUCACAAUUCUCUAAUCUCUACUUUUAUGUUGUUUUCAUUUGAACUCAACCCAAAAAUCUCACCAGUAAUCACCACACGAACAAAUCCCGUUCUUGAAAUGAUGAAACCUAUUUGUAUCCCGAAGAAUAAUUUCCCGCUCAACAAUCUUGGAAAUAAGCUUAGCAGCAAUAUGACAAUCCUCACAAACACGUAGAUUUUUAGUAAUCCGUAUAGGCGUAAAAGCUUUAGUAUUUAUAAUCACAAACACAAUAGCAAGCUUCUCACUAUGAACAGCAAGAUGAUUUCCUUUAUCUUCAUCUUCUAUAUCAUGAAGUGCAGAAUCCACUUCAGGAACAUACCCAAAAUCCCUCAUCUUCCCCACAAGUACUUCCAACUCUUGAUAAAUCUGUUUAGAUUGUGGAUGGGAUUGAUCUCCAGCAAGAAACGAAUGAACUUGAUUAUUAAGCUCAACAUUACUAACACCGGGCUCUUUUUUCACUCCUUUUGAUUUCAUUAUUGAACGAAUAUUUGUCACAUCUUUAAAUCUACCUGCUUUUGCGUAUAUAUUUGAUAAUAAAACAUAAUACCCUGCUUGUUCAGGGACCAAUUCAAAGAGAUGAUCUGCUGCUACAAGACCAAUUUCCAUGUUGGAAUGAACUUUACAAGCACUUAACAAAGCACCCCAGAUUCUAUCGUUUGGUUUUGUUUUCAUUUUCUUUAUAAAAUCAUAAGCUUCAUUGAUUCUUCCUGAUCUUCCUAGCAAAUCAACCAUGCACGCCAAGUGUUCGAGUCUUGGAAUGAUGUUAUACUCUUCGGUCAUCAAUUUGAAGAAAUGUUUUCCUUGGUUUAGUAAUCCGGCAUGGCUGCAGGCUGAUAGAACUGGAACGAAGGAAAUGGAAUCAGGGGCGAUUCCGGAAUUUUGCAUAUUUGAAAAGACUGUGAUAGCAGUUUCACCAUCUCCAGUCAUGCCAUAAGCAGAGACCAUGGAAGUCCAGGAGACGACAUCUCUUGUUGGCAUUUCAUCGAACACCUUGCGUGCUUCGUUUAAAGACCCACAUUUAGCAUACAUGUCAAUCAAGGCGUUCUCUACUGUUAGAUUAGGAAGAAGCCUUUUUGUUUUUACAUAUGAAUGAAUCUUUCUUCCUAGUAAUAAAGCUGAAAGAUCUCCACAAGCGGGUAGGAUGCUAGCAACUGUGAUUGAAUCCGGGUCGAUUCCGUAAUUCUCCAUUUGUUGAUAAAGAUUAACUGCAUCUUUAGGCAUCGAGUUGUUGACGUACACAGCUAUCAUGACAUUCCAAGAAAUUAAACUCUCUCGAGCGUGAUUCAUGAACAUUUCUUUCAUAAACAUCACGUUGGUAGAUGAAGUAGAAGUUGUUAAAGCAGGGGAAAGGCUGGCCAUGGUGCCUGCGUUGGGUUUUGAGGUAGAACAUUGCAUCAUUGUCUUACAAAUCUCCAAUGCAUCUUCAAACAUCCGGUUUUGGGCGUAGGCAGCAACCAUAGCAUUCCAGGAGACGAUAUCUCUACUAGGCAUUUCAUCAAACACCUGGCGUCCUUCCAGUAACCGGUUACAUUUUCCAUACAUUGUAAUCAAUCCAUUCCCUACAUAAAGAUUUGAAUGCAGACCCUUCUUGAGAACAGCAACAUGGGUUUGUAAUCCGACCCACAAAUUCUCAGACACGGAACAUGCUUUUAGAACUUGAGGAACUGUAAAAUGAUCAGGGUUAAUGUUGAACUUGAACAUGUUUCUGUACAUACGAAGUGCUUUUUCGUAGAAUUCAUUGUUUACGUAGCUUCUAAUCAUCACAUUGAAGAAGACUACAUCUUUUUGAGGAAAUUCAUCAAACAGUUGGCGGGUAACUGCGAUUUGGCGACAUUCAGAAUAAGCUUUCAUUAAUUUCAGAGCAAUAUGCGAUGCUGAGACGAGGUUUCCAUCAAUAAUUAACCUACAAUGUAUCUUUUUCAAUUGUUUGAUAUCUGGGCACUUGUCCAAGAUUUUGAUACACAAGUCUUCUGUGAUUAACAUGAUUGUUAAGGCGAGAUUUGAAUGAAUUUGAACUUAUAUUCCUUUCGCCAUGUUGUACCUGAGGGGCAAUCAAAUAGAAUGGACGAAGAUAACGAAGGUUUACUUGGUGGUGUUCACUUAAAAACAAGAAAUAUGAAGUUCUAAACGCUAUUUCUUGUUAAACAGAAAAUAUUUUGUCCAAUCUAAAAAUCCAAUUUUUGAGUAAGUUCAAGCUUAAGCUCAAAAAUAGUAAGCAAAACAUGUUUAAAAAAUAAAAGUUCGUUUGAAACUCUUUGGAUAGCUCGAGUAUAACAAUCAUCAUAAUUAUAGUCAAUAAAUCAGGCUCAAACAACCAAACUUGAUGUCCAGCCCUUGAUCAUCCAAUUGCCAACUGAAAUCAACUUAGUUUCCGGUUUUAGAAUCGCCCUAACAUUACAUAAGCACCAACUAGUUCCAAAAGUAGUUUUUAAUUCAAUGUCUCCCAUACCCGUGACUUCAAGGGUUUCCAUGUUACCCAACCUUACCAACUUAAGAUAAGUUCUUUACUUCAAUUACUAUAACAGAUCGAUGAGUCAUGUUCUAAUGACCUCUCGUCAUAUGAUGCAAUGCUUAGACUCGAGUCUUUUAAAGUCAAAUUCUAUAAUGAAAUAUACAUUCCUUCAAGUUUCUAAUGUGAUAUAAUCACAUUCUAGCAUGUAUCACUUCUAGCUACAAGCUUCUUACUUUAACAACAAUCACAAUACUUCUAUUGAUCGCUUUGAUUAUCUUUCAGUUCAAUCUUCUGGCUUAAGUCAGAUGCUACAUCGAUCUUGGUUCUCUGAACCACGUACAAUACUUAUCCUAGCUGUAAUCGAUUUGAUAUGACCACUAGGGUCGGAAUAACAAUCAUCUUCUUAGUCAUUACCGAAAUUAUGGUAAUGACACAUGAACAAAACAGAAUCAAUUACUAGCGUCUUGGUAACUCGUGACUUUCCCUGAUCCAAGUGCGAGUCGUGUGCUUCCAGUAGUAUAUGCCUCUACUACCUUUCACACCUACUCAUACUUGUCCCAAGUAUUGUCUUUCAGUUCUCCAAGUCACCAUAAAAGAAUUUCACAUAGUCAUUUAACACAUCGAAUAACAAAACUAAGGUUUAUAUUAUUUCUUGAAACGAUUACAUAGAUAUUCAAGUUCACCUUAUACCAUGCCUUUUAUAUUAGGCUACACCACAUGAUACUAUCUAUAUGGCUACUUUAUAUCUCGAUCUUCAGAUAUAUAUAGAUCCCUACUCCUAAUCCCUUGUAUCGUCACCUGCUUCAUCCAGGUUAGACUUCGAGAAUCUUCCUUUCUUAUCGAAUCUUGAGGAUCCCUCAAGCUUCUUCUUUUCUCAUGCCUUGUCUUAUUCCAGACCCUUUUUCCUAAAUUAGGUUUCCAUAUUCUUGGUUGCUCUAACGGUUGUCUUCAAAGUAGUUGCCAUUUUUACCAUUGCGCCAAAUUAUGCUGGCAAUCCGUUAGCAAAACUAUCUAUCUUGGAGAGUUCAGUAGCACCAAGUAGGGGAAUAACUUCAUCUGCUCGGUGAAUACGGUGACAUACUCAUCAACACUCAUCUUCCUUUUCUUCAAGUUCGAAACUCGUUGUUUAGGUCUAUCAGAUCUAUCUCUGAGCAGUAUUGCAUUUUCAACUGCUCCAUGAAUGCUUCCCACCUCAGGGCUUCUCCCCCAUGGCUUUGUAUCUGCCAAUAACUUCCACCAACUUAAAACUCUGGUCUUUAGUUGUCUGACUGUAAAGACGGUUUUCUGCUUGUUGCUGCAAUUGCAACUUUCAAAUGUCAUCUCUAUCUCGGAGAUCCAAUCCAUGAUCUCUACUGGCUUCGGGCUUCCAGAAAGACUUGGUGGUUUGGCACCUAAGAAGUUCUUAUACAUACGUUCAUCCUUAUCAAUCGCUUUUUUCGGGUCGUUCCUCCUUGCCACUCGGGGUUCAGCUUGACUCACUGUACGACUGUAAUUUCCCUCCUCCGACAAUUCUUCAUUCAGUUCGGGUUGCACGAUAGGCACAAUAGGUUCAUCCCUAUUAUCAAGAAACAUUUUUCUCAUCUCCUCCCUUUGUUCGGCCAUCAUAGCCCAAAUCAUUGCUUAGACUCUUGCCAUCGUGAUUGGCUCGGGUGCAGCUACUACCUCUGGUGCACAUUUAAUCACUCGUGGUUCAGGCUGUUAGUUUUCAUUAGCAUUUUCUAAUAUGUUGCGAGUUCUCACCAUUUCGAUCUAUACACUCUAGAGAUGUUCAGUGUACAGUGACGAGAAUUAAGAUAUGGAAAGCUUUAUUUACGACAGCCAUAUAAAUCUUCUUAUCACUCGUAAAAGUUAUAUACUAGUUCUAAUACCGUAAUUAAAUGUUUGGAAAUUUUGAGCAAAUGACGGUUCAUCAACAAUAGAGCGAAUCUCAUUUAGGAAUUCGUUGAUAGGUCGAUUUCCUUUAGGAUUUUUAGCAAGUUUGGAUUUUAAAGAGAUGAUUCUUGAGCAGGAGGUGCUGGCAUAGCUUGUGUUGAGAUGCUUUCAUGCUUCUUUUGUGGUAAAUACAGAGGUAAUGAUAGGUUGAAUGAAUUGCAUCUGAGCAUGAACCAAGAAUUGCAUCGAAUACUACAUGAUCUUGGCGAUAGCAAGUCGUGUAUUCAUGAUUAGGUUUGGAUUUGUCUUUGUCGAUAAUGAAUUUUGUGGUAGGAUCAGUCACCCAUGUGAUGUAAUCUUCCAGACCUAGUCCAAUAAAUGUGGACUGCACUUGUCGCCUCCAUACAUGGAAGUUGUUGGUGAGUAAUUUGGUAGGAAAGUGACUUGAGGCGGUGAUUUGUAUUUGGGAUGAUUGUGUCAUGGUGAUGUUGAUGAAAAGGAUUAGAGGAGAAAGGCAAGAUGAUCGAUUGACUCUUUAGAGUGUGUGUGCUCUGAUACGAUAUGAGAUUUGAGAAUCAAUGGGCUCGAAUGAAUAAUUUCAUUUACAAAGAUCGAUACAUAUAUAGAUGGUAACGAGAGUUAAAGAGCUAUACAUGGAAUUUACUAAGAAUAGAUUGCAAUUACAUACAAAUAGAAGAGAUUAUUGUAGAUUAGUCAUGAAGAUGUGUACGAUGUUAUAGUUAGAUUGCUUAUUUGCAAUCCAUGUUAGCUAAGUAUGUCAUGUUGAAUACAAAUUGUAUUAAAACAUUAAAGUUCCAACCAUUAUAUGUUGAAGAAGAAGCAAAUACGCCUUAGUCACACCCAUUCUAAAUGAUAUGGAUGUUAUGGUUGUCGUUUCUAUGCAACCAAAUCGUGAUUCCAAGUUGCAGUUGUCUUACCAAUAUAUCAUGUUAGGAAAAGAUGACAUAGCAUGAAAUAUUGUAUGUUACAACAAAAAGAUAUAUCUUAUAGAUGUCUUGCACAUGGGUUAUUCCUUUUUAAGCACUUAUAUAAAAAUAAUAUCACGUAUGUAUGAUAUCUAUUUUGAGAGAUUUUUAGCAAGCAACUCUUUGUCUAUUAUUGUUAUUGGAUAGAAAAAGUAUCAUCUUCGUUGGGAAGAUUUUACUAGGAUUAGAUUCAUAAUAGUUUGUCAAAGAUUUUACUAUUAUGUAUUUAUAAACCCAUGAAGUUUUCUAUUAAAUAAAUAAAUAAAUAACCAUUCACCAUUUAUAUCUUUUUGGAAUAGAGUUUGUUAAAUUCUAAUAUAAAUAAAAAGAGUAUUUAUUUAGAUUCACACAUUACAAAAUUACAAACUCCAAGCAUAAAUCCGAAACUUAUUUUUAAACUUCUUCAUUUAUAUUACAAGUUUUAUUCUUUUUUCCCAACCCACUUGGGGUUUCGAAACCCUAAAAAAGUUCUAUCCAUGGAAGUUCAUAUUUAUUUCUUAUCUUAAUGAAUUUAAGGUCUAAAUCAAUAAAUGGCAAUGUAGAAUUAACCGCAUAUAUUAAGUUAUUUUUGGAAGCUUUCCAACACAACACAGAAAGGAAAUGAUGAGAAUUUAUGGUACCAAAUAACAAAAUAAUCCCGGUUCCUAUAAAAAUUUAUUAAAGCUCUACUCAUGAUUUCAUAAUCUCCUCUAAUAUGAGGGUUACGUUAUUGUAAUAAUAACUAUGAUAAUGUAAAAGCCAUAACAUAAAUCGUCUUAAUUUAAGAAAUAAUAUAAAUCCCAAGAUAUUGUUUUUAAAAUAAAAAGGAAAAAAGUGGGAGUCCAUUAGAAGGAGCCAAGCUGAUUAUUUGAGCCAAGAGAGCACCGAUUUGUUAUCCUUCCACUGUUCGAAGCGAGAGGUUAUCGCAGCUCUGUGAAGCCAGCCUAACGCAUUGCCCUCUGCUCUAGGAACCAAGAAGCCCAAGCCUUCGCUCAAGCCACUUGAUCCAACUCCGAACUUGGAACGGGCAAACCAGAUUUUGCAACAGCUUUGACCCAACCAAACAAGGCUCGAUCUCAGUCCAUCCCACUUUAGAGCCCUCACUUGAGUCACAAGCUCGCGUUACCAAGCUCGGCGAUAAACGAAGUCCAUUUGAUGUAUAAAUAAUCGGAAAAACUUUCUCCUCCAAGCGAUGUGGGAUGCGAAACGAAAUAUUUUCAUCUUCAUUCUCUCUUUAUCUCUGUCAAAUACUGUGAUUACUGAUUACUGACUACUUAAACACCCAUGCAACGGAUUUCAAGUAUUUUUUUCAAUCCAUGGAUUUAGAACUGUAAACUGAAAAAAGAGAUUGUGGAAUAGUUUUGGAAACUGGAAUUUGUUUACAAGUUUUUCGUGAGGUGUAAGUGAUAAGAUAUGAUAUUUGAGUAAUUGGAAUCAUUCUCUCGAAGAUUCAAGUAUCAAGUAUGAAACUUAGACAAUAUAUAUACCUGUUUUCUUCUCUUUUUUCUGUCUACGAACCGAAUCCAACAUGAUUUCUCUACAAAAUCCGUGUCUUAAUCCUAAUUAACACUCACUAACCGGUUACCCCUCCAGAUGUUGCAGAAAUUUUCUUGAAUUAUCUCUUUUGUUUUUCACAAUUCAAUGUCGGUUGCUCCCUUUCUCUCUGAUUCAAGUAUUCAACCACCGCCAAAGACUUGAGAAAGUGGAGGAGUUUAUCAAUUAAAUGAGUUUAUAUGCUUUCCAACUUUUCGUAAAUUGCAAGUUACUCCCCGUACCUUUCGAAAAUCUUCCUUUAACAAUUGUGGAAAGUUGUUGAAAUUUGAAAAUAAAAUAAAAAUUAUAGUCAAGGGGAUCGUUUUAAAGGUUUCCAGGAGAUACUUUUGUUGAUAUAUUUUUGAAUAAAAAGUUAAUUAUAUAAUAGAUUUUUACCAAAUAAUGUGGAUAGCUAAAAAUGUGAUUAUGGUUUAAAAAAGAAAUCUAAUAAAUAAAGAUUAAAUAAAGAAGUUAUGUUUUAAUAUAACUAAAUUAAUGAUGGUAUUGUGUUUGAUGAAAGGACUAAAACUGAACAAAGAAAAAAUAUUUGUGUUUCACUCACAGAUACUAGCAAUUGAUGGGUCUUAAAUGAAAAGGAGUUGGAUAAGGAAUAAAAACCUUGUAGACGUUCACACUUUUCUCUUUUGAUCAAAAUCUUAUUUAUAAAUUUCAAAAUUUGAUUCAAACCUGUUGUAUAAUUUUAAAUAAUUAAACUCAUAAUUAAAAUUAUACUCUUAUCCAUAAGUUAAUAGAUAUCUUGACUCAUUUAUAGUAUUAUAGAUUACAAGAUUGUUGUGCACGUCACAAAGUAUCAUCCAUAAUAUAUAACAUGAUAUUUUACUUAAUACUAAAUAUACGACAAUUCAAAAAUCAUAUUUUACUAAAUACUUACGAUAACAUUUUUUUUUAAAUGGAUGUCUAUUAUAACAAAUAUGCAUGAGACAACGUAGUCGUCAAGAUAAAUCAUAAACAAAAUAAAUGUCUACUGUAGAAAACAUAUGUUUAACAUAUAUCAAUUGCACUUAGAAAAUAUUUACACUCUCAUAGUAUGCGUUCGAUAGGGAGAAAGCAUCAUAAUCAAUUGGUGAUUUUUUUGGUUGACGUGGUUAUGUGUUUGAUUAGAGAAGAAAGCAAAUAGUAUGAUGUCGAUUGAGGAUUUCUUGAGUUACAAAUAGGGUUAAUGUCAUAAAAAUUCUCAAGCUUUCAGGGUUUUGUCGGUUUUGCCCAAAGUUUAAUUUUAUGUCCGUUUUUACCCUAACAUUUUCCAAAAAAUGUUCGUUUUUACCCUUUUACCGGUGAUAACAGGUUACCAUUAUAUUAGUUUCGCAAAAAAACCCUUAAGUUUAUAGUUUUUUACGUUUUUACCUGUAAGUUUAUAUUUCUUUUACACUUUUACCCUUUGUAUUUUUUUUUUUCAUAUUAUAUGUAUUCAUAAAGAAAAAAUAUAUUUAUAUACGAAAUUUUUUUAAUUAAAUAUUGUAUUUACAUUUUUAUAAUGUUAUUUCUUCAUAUAUAUAUAUAUAUNNUAUAUAUAUAUCAAUAAAAAACAUAAUGAAUCAUAAACAUGUUUAUAUAAGUAUAUACAUAUAUUUUUAGAAGUGUAAAUAUGUAUUUUGAUAUAUGUUUUUUUUUAAGUAUAAAUAUAUUUUUAGAAGUAUAUAUACAUAUUUAUAUAUAAAAAUGUAAAAAUAUGUAUUUAUACUUUUAAAAACUAUAUCUAUAAAACACGUAUUCAUAAUCUUGUAAAAAAAUGUGUGUUAGGAUCUUUUGAUCGCAUUCCGAUCUUAUGAUCACAAUCUUGUAAAAUACAAAAAUAAUCGUAUGUAAGAUUUCAAUUUUGACAAUCUUUAUUUGAAGGAAUAUUAAAAUCAUAAAAUUAUGUUAAUGUGUAACUUGGAACUUGGUGACCCGACCCAAAACAAAGUCAAGAAACCCGACAUCAAAUAUCGAUGGGAUAAAUGUUUGGAAUAAGCUUAGGGUCGAUAGGCCCUAAGUCGUUGGUAAUAGAAGAAUUUUUCAGUUUCCGGCUCCCUACCUAUGAAGUAUGUCAUAUCGACCAAAUCAUAUUAAAUCUAUGUGUCAUUUUAUUGUUGCUUUUUUGCAUAACAAAUUGAAUACUUAAUCUCACAAAAUCAAAAACCUAACUUGAAUAUGAUCAUUGUCGUUGAUACAAUAAAAAUAUAAACCAACAAAACCUUGGAAUUCGGAUUGAAUCCACAUGGAGUUCGUAGUUAAAUUAUGUGUUUGAAAGAUUCAAUUAGCUAACCAAAGAUGCAAGAAAACUAAUCACUUUUGGAACAAUCAAAUUUGAAAUCCAAAGGACAAAAAUGUGCCAAUCAUAAAUUAGGAAUUUAGAAAACCAAAAGUGUAUUGCAAUCAAUUUCUAAAUUGAAUGACCAAAAAUAAUGACCAAAUCUCGCAUUAACUAAACAUUUGAAUGUAGUUAUUUAAUUUUUAUUGUAGCAUAGAUACAUAGACAUGAUCAAUAAAUCUUCUUAUUCUAAUAAAUGAAUAAGUUUAUUCUCAUGUUGACAAGUCUUCUCUAAUAAAUGAAGGUUUUUUGUCAUUUGUUACAUUCUCAUUCAAAUUGUUAAAUGUCAUUUUGUGGUUAUUUUGAAUUAAUUUUUUUCCCACAUAUCAUUUUAUGAGUUUUUCUAUUUUAUUAAAUUCCACAUAAUAUUUUAACAUAAUAGUUGUAAUAAAUGUAGUAAUAAACGGAUAUUAAUUUCACUAAUAAACUUACCUUUUAAUUUCAAAAUUCCCAAAAUUAAAGUUCAUUCGUUUCUUUUCUUUAUUUAAAUUAUGUGUUUAAAUUUAAAAGAUAAAAUACAUUUCCAUUAUAAUAAAUCAUUAUUUUUCUUAUUUUCUUAUAAAUUCAAAGUUCUCAAAUAUUUUGACAUUUAUAUUUAACAUUUUUUUUAAAUAAAUUCAUAUAAUACAUGGGUCUCGCAACUAGUGGCAUACUGUUAGAAAUCUUCAUUAAUAUUAUAUGUCAUCUAUCAUGCCACAUGUCAACCUAUUAAUUCUCCAUUUUAAAUUUUAAAAUUUAAAUUUUCCACUCUAAUUACAUUAAAUUAGAUUAUUUAUUUCAAAUUUUAAAUUUCACAUUCUAAUUACACUAAAUUAAUAACAUUAGAAUAAAAAAUAAAAUAAAAUUAAUAUAUAUUAUAAGGUGAUAUAAUUUAAUGUAUUUAUUUAAAUCAACGAUUAUAAUUUAUAUAACUAAAAAAAUAUCUCUUAAUUAAUAAUUUAUUUGAAGUAAUUGAUUAAUAAUUUUAAAUUUACUAUGUUUAUAUUAAUUUUAUAAUUAUAAUUCUCGCAGAUUAUAAACUAGUUAGUAGAAUAAAAUGACAAACUUUAGGCAUAACCCUUGAUAUGGCCGUAAAAUAGUGUUAACUCCAAAUCUAGGUGGAGCUCGGCACGAUAUAUCACAAUAAUAUUAACUUCAAACAAUUUAAAAAUAAAACUUAUGCAUAAAGUACGAGAAUAAAUUGUUGGGUUACAAAUAAAAUAUUGAAAGAGAAGAGGUUAAAAAUGGCCAACUAAAUGUGUUUGACCAUAUUUAGGGAGGAAGGAGUUGUUUCCCUCCUCCUGCCGAAACCGCUAAACCUUAGUCGGAGGGUAUCGAACCCAUCCAACCCCAAAACCACCGACCCCAUCUUCUUCAACUUUCCAACUUUGAGUUGUCUCCCCAGUGGGUUUCUCAAACCGUUAAACCCCUCUCUUUCUCUCUUGCUUUCAUCCCUUUCCUCCUCUAACCCGCUAUGACUCCUUCAUCCCUUAGUCACUCAACUUAUUUUUGUCUACUAAGAUAAGAAACUUUUCAAAAUCAUCAACUUUUAUCCAUUCAACUUAUUUUGUCAAUUUUUAGGUAAUGAUUUUAACUCAUUGCUCGCCUUUGUGCUUCUAAGAUGAAGUAUCUUGCAUAUUUUGGAGAAAGCAAAUAAGAAUAAAGUAUGUUGCUAAAUCUGGUCCCAAUAAACAAAUAUUUACUCAUAACAAUCUCACACAUAAGAAUUAUGUUAUCAUUAAAAGAUGAAUACGAAUGUUUUGUACUUAGCCUUUGCCAAGUUAUAUAACUUAAUUAAUUAAUUUAUAAGUCCAGACUUUACAAAGAAAAAUCAAGUGAAGUUAAUAAACACAAACUUAAGCAUCAUCAUUGGGUUGAUGCUCUUUUGGGUGUCUCGUCAAAGCUUGAUUAGUAAUGAUUGGAUCUCAUUCAUUAUUCACAUGUCAUCUUGAAACAAAGCUUUGUAAACAGAAUUAGAACCACCACCCCGUUCAUCUUUCUUGUCUCCUCCGCCGCCUAUCAUCGGAGUCUCACAAACCACGCUAUAACCAGCCCUCCGUUGUUUCUUCCUUUUGGAUUCUUUAUUAGAUACGGGUCUAACCUUGGUUGUUUGUAAUGGCUUCGGAGCCCAAACCCUCUGCAAAUCGGGCAUUCGGCCUGUGAAUACGAACCUUUUAGCCCUCUCUCUCCUCUCACGAGCCUCAAUUAACUUUUGUUCAUCAUCCUUUUCUGUCUCUCCUAAAUCCAAGUUGUCAAGCGGAGGAUGCGAUGGUUCGUCUUCUAAAAACAAUGAAUCGUGAAUCAUCAUCUUAUUAGCAGCAGCCAUCUCGUGACUGCUAUCCUCGCUGUUCAACAUCAUACCCUGAUCUUCGUUUUCUUCACCAAAUGGUAACAGGUCCAUUUCAUCGUAGAUCUUCUUCACCACGUCUUCCAGAUUCUGUGAAUACCUGAAAAUUGAAUUUAUCAUAAGCAAAUUAUCAAACAGUUGGUGUGCAACUGAGAAAUGGCUAGAAUUUGGAUACAAAAACUGUGGAAACUAUCAAAUAAUCAAACAAAUAAACGAAGUACCUGGUUUUUAUGGUUUUCUCGACGUACGCAUAAAGACUGAUAUCACCAUGAAAGCCUCCUUCCACAAGGUAUUGGAAGAUCUCCAAUAGCGAACAAAUCUGUUUCACAAGCUUCGUCUUCAAACUCCCCUUCAUACUCCCUGCAUAUUCGGACUGAAGUAUCUCCAUCCGGAGCAAAAUUUGUAAUUCGUAUCUUUAAGUUUAUUAAGGAAAAGAUUAGACCAAAUAAAGAUAUAUUACCAAUUUACCAAGAAUAUGUAAAAGAAAUAAAAAGAAUAAAAGGAUACUCUUUGACUAGGUAUUUUGAGGUAGAACUUGGAUCAUUAUCUUUAUGUUCCUUCAAAUCUUUGGGCUCUGUUAGUAGUAACUGUAUGAUUUCAGCAACUUGAGUAGAACAAGAUUCAUCAAGAUUUUCCAUCUUUUUCUGCUUUUGAGAUAACCAAUAAAUGGACGAGUUUACAAAACUCUCUGCCAUGAUCUUCAAGUCCACACCAUCAGAUUCAAGCCCCUGUUGAAUUCUCUUAGGCAAACUACUGAAAAAAGCUUCUGGAGUUUCUGAACAAGAUUCAAAAUCAGCAUCCCCAUGGAUUCUUGACUGUUGAGAACUAAUAGCCAUUGUAAGAGGUCCAUCGCUUUCUUGAUGGCUUGCAGAAAUAUCUUCAUUUACAUCUGUUUCUUUUUGCUGAAUUGAAUCUGGAGCCAUUUUGCAUGAUCUAUCUAGUAUGUUAUUGGAAGAUAAGCUCUUGUUUUUCACUUCUGUCAUCCAGCAUUUCAGAAACUUCAACUUCUUUGACUUUUUCAAGCCAUUGGCAAAAUAAACCUCUGUUAAGUCCACAUCUAAAAACUCAUAUGCAGCCUUGCAGAAUGCACUCCAUGUAAGGUCCCGAUGUGUGUGUUUUUUAAUCUUUCUUCUCUUUCCACCAGCUAAAUGAACAUAUUUUCCAGAUGGGGAAGUACCCUUUUGAGAAUCAAAGUCACCUUGAGAAAGUUUAUUCUCUAUCAAGAGGUUUGAUCCACCAUCUUUUUGAACAAGAGCAUUGUUAUGAUCUAAGAACAAGAGAACAGCUGAAUGAACUGUGAAGGGCUUGAGAAUCCCUGUGUGAGAAUCCCCAUUGUUAUUUGAUAUAGAUAACAAAGCCCAGUAACCCUUGCUAUAAAGAAAACUAAGUAAAAUCUGCCAUGUUGGAACCGAAUGCUUCUCAAAGAACUCAGAUUUUUCACUGGCUAAUUGUCCAAGAACCUUAUCAGCCAAAAAAAUGUCUAAACCAUCUUUCUCCUUUUUGGCAGAUUUUGCAGAUUGAACUAAAAAAUGAUCUGAAGAAAAUUCUUCAAGUUUUUCACACACAGUGUACUUGUGAACAGAUGUGAUGUGCAACUUCAUAAUUCCAUUGUUUAAAUUACCCAAAAAUGUGCUCACAGAGUUGACAACUUCAUCUUUUGAGCUAGGCUUUGAUGAUGCCUUUAGAUGCAGCACAUUAAGAUCACAGCAUUUCCACUCUAUGGGCUUACCAUGGACAUCCAAAAUCUCGAGACCUAAUUGCCCACGGAUCCUUUUAUCUAAUUUAGGAGAAUCUAGCAACUUAGAUGAGAUCCCAAUAACUGGAUAUAUCAACCCGAAAGAAACAAGCGCAGAACCUAGAACAAUGGAAUCCGCAGAGCAAAAUCCCCAACCAAAUUUCCUAAUUUCAUUUCCAAUAAUAGCAGAGUGCUUCUCGGAUUUAUUGUUUUUGCCUUCUUCUUCUUCGUGGCUAUGAAUGUCAACCCAACAGAAAUGUAUGUCCUUACUAUUAAAUGCAUCAUUAACAGCACCAAAACAAUCACGAAACCUAGCACCAUAAAUAUCUAAAUUCCUCAAGCAAUCAUUAUCGACAUCCACAGACACAAAAUCAGCUAAGGAUUUCAACGAUCUACAAACUGGCGACAACAAAAUAACCAAAUUUGAUCGGACAUCGAUGGGAUCAGAAUGAAUUUUACCUGGAAGAUUCUCAAUAUCGAACUCCCAGCCAUAGUCGCGAGCGAGCUGAAGCAAAGAGCUGGCUAUAUGUGAAGCGUUUGAAGGGGAAUACGUCAAUUUGGUAGAAGAGAUGGAAUUAAGGGUGUGGGAGAGAGAAUCUAGGGUUUGCGAAGGAGAAUUGAAGGAUACAGAAGCAGAAGAAUAACUGGGAAGUAGAUUGCGGAGCGUAGAGACGGAAUCGAGAGAGGAGAGAGAAGAGAAGAAGAGCUUGAAGGAGAAAAGAGAAGAUGAAAGAGGAGGGAAAGAUAAAAGAAUAUUGGAGGUAGCAAGAAUGGAGGUGAGGUAAUUAGGGUUAGGAAAUUGGGAUAGAAAUGGAUUGAGGUCUACGAGAAGAACUAUACGCUGUGUUUUUGAGAAAUCAAUGGCGUCCGCCAUUCAAGCUUGAUAUUUUAAGACUUUCGGGGAGAGCACAGAGAUACGGGGUUCUCGCUGUAGAAGUAGAAGAGCAGAUAUGCUUAUUGCAGAUCCAGGAUGCUAACUUGCGCCGCACCAACGUGGAGAGAGAGGAUAGAGACCGGGACAAUAUGGGCGGCAAUGUAGCAAUGGCGGGAGAAUUAUAUGAGUUUAAAAGUCAUGACCGGUUUAUACAAAUAUAAUUAAAAAAACGACGUAUCAUAAUUGUUAAAGUAAAUGAAAAAAACAAUUAAAAAAAAACAUUGUUAGACGAGAAUAUACUUAUUGAAUAACAUAUAUGUUCAAGAUGAAACUUAAUCCAUUAACCUCAUGGAAGAAUGACAUUUCAUUAUACUGAUAGGUUAAAAACUUGUUGGUUUUUGACUUUCAAUUGUUUAGAUGUAUGUUUGUGAUUCGGUUUCUUAUUUAAGUGUGACAAAACUAUAACCAUCAACUUUUCGUUAAAACGAUUAUCUUACAAAAUAAACUUCACUACACAUAUCCUACACUACACUCUUUAUUCAAUAUUGUUUUAUCCUAACAGUAAGCAAGAACUUGGAACCCUAACUAAGAGUUCUAAGAAAACAAAGAGCAUCAAAUAAUCUAAAGGGCGUAUUAUGUGAUAAUGACAUAAAACCUAACUCUCUCCAUUUAUAUAUAGCGUACAGGAAUAUAAUAUACACCUCAUUAUACAAGUUUGAACACAAGUGUGUCAUUUAAGAGCAUACAAAUGUCAUAGUACAAGUUCCAAAGCCAUUAGUGCAUUUAAUUAAAGCUCCACACGUACAAACAUCCAAGCUCCCACAUAAUAAUCCUUUAAAGCUUCAUCUCUACUUUGAUAAUAAUACCAACAGUCUGUAACAUCUUAAAAUUUAAGACUUUGUUAUUAAAUAAAUAAAGUGAAUAAAAGAGAGAUGAUGUAUAUAGUUAGAGCAUUAAGGAGUAAGCAUAUCAUUGGUUGAUAUGAAGUUUGGAAGAUUAGAAGUGAAAAUUAUAACAUCUUAAAAGUUAAAGGAUUAUUGUGACAGUCGGGUGAAACUUAGGUUUGACUAGAGAUUUGACCAGCUUAAAUAACUUGGAUUAAGUUGUGAAGAUUAUGAUGUUGAGGGGUCAUUUUGGAAGUUCAUUGAAGCUUCUAAGUUAGUUUGGAGUUAUUUUGAAAGAGGUUUUGAAAGGAGGGACCGAAAGUGGCAAGUUGAUAAAGUUCAAAAUUAGUUAAUGGGUCUUCGCUCCCAUUUGCUUAAAAAACAACGCGGUUGAGAGAAAGAGAGAGGUAAAUGGCGAUUUCUAUUAAGCAAAGGAAGAUUUAGAGUGGUCGUUGAGUAAUCAAGCUAGAAAUUGAAGAUAUAAAGCAACAUCAAGCUUAAGAGGUAUAAUUUCUUAUCCUCUAACUCUAUACUUCGAAUUCAAGGUUUGGGGAAAACCUCGAUGUCGAAAUUAGUUUGAUUCUUUGAUUAGGGUUUUGGUUUCUAACCUCUCUUGAGUUGUUUUGAUGAUCUCAAUCUCAAUCUCAAUCAAAUCAUCAUAUUGAUGGGUUUGAGGAUUUUAAUGAAACCCCUCAUGAACCCUAGAAAUUCAAAUUAUGGAUUUCAUGUUUAUAUGUUAGAUUGUAAUGGAUUCAAUGACCUAUAUGCUUUUUGAUGUCAAUAAACCCAAUUGGAAUGCUCAAUCACAUCCAUGAUGGUAGAAUCAAAGUAUGAGCGUGAAUUUUAGGUGAUUUUAGGGAAAUUGUGGUGAAAACAACAUAAUUAUUUAUAUAUGAGCAUUUGAUGAGUACAUGAUACUCAUAAACAUGAAAUGAUACUAAUAAUAUGAUUUAAAUGCACGAACAUGAAGGCUUGGGUGAUCUAUAGUUGAAUUUAUGGAAUAAUUGGCCAAAAGGGCCUUUUAGGAAAUGUAUUGACAAACAUAUAAUGAUUGACAAAUAAUAAGUGAAUGGCAUUCAUGAACAUGAAUUAACACUCUAGAUAUGUUAUUGGAACAUUAUGUAAUAUCCCAAAAUUUAAGACUAAAAAAUUUCUUUUAAUAAAACAUUUCUUUAAGCAAAUUCAUCAUUCCAAAACAUGAAUAGAGUAUUAAUUUCCAAAAUACUUGUUCGUUAUCGGAGUAAACAUUCCUAGGCUAUCUAAUCUGUGGUGUGUGUGCCAUGCGAUCACCCCGAGCUCUUCCCUCCGCUACCGGAAGUACCCGAAACCAAAACUGAAAACCGUAAGCACGAAGCUUAGUGAGUUCCCCACCCUACCACAUACCAUACAUUCACAUAUCAUACACACUGUCGGGCAAUUAUGGGGUGCCCGACCUACCCGGNNNNNNNNNNNNNNNNNNNNNNNNNNNNNNNNNNNNNNNNNNNNNNNNNNNNNNNNNNNNNNNNNNNNNNNNNNNNNNNNNNNNNNNNNNNNNNNNNNNNNNNNNNNNNNNNNNNNNNNNNNNNNNNNNNNNNNNNNNNNNNNNNNNNNNNNNNNNNNNNNNNNNNNNNNNNNNNNNNNNNNNNNNNNNNNNNNNNNNNNNNNNNNNNNNNNNNNNNNNNNNNNNNNNNNNNNNNNNNNNNNNNNNNNNNNNNNNNNNNNNNNNNNNNNNNNNNNNNNNNNNNNNNNNNNNNNNNNNNNNNNNNNNNNNNNNNNNNNNNNNNNNNNNNNNNNNNNNNNNNNNNNNNNNNNNNNNNNNNNNNNNNNNNNNNNNNNNNNNNNNNNNNNNNNNNNNNNNNNNNNNNNNNNNNNNNNNNNNNNNNNNNNNNNNNNNNNNNNNNNNNNNNNNNNNNNNNNNNNNNNNNNNNNNNNNNNNNNNNNNNNNNNNNNNNNNNNNNNNNNNNNNNNNNNNNNNNNNNNNNNNNNNNNNNNNNNNNNNNNNNNNNNNNNNNNNNNNNNNNNNNNNNNNNNNNNNNNNNNNAUAAACCAUUCCUUGGGCACCCGCCCUCUAUCAUUGGACCUCGUCCCGAAUAUCAUACUAGCAUACUGUGCUUAGGGCUAACCCCCGGGUCUUCUACUCAUAACUACAUGGGCCGGCAUUGUGGCCGUAGACCCAUUCAUACAAAGGGAAACUCACCUACAUUGGCUGAACUGGCUGAUGAACCCACUAGCUGCUACCCGACAACUCUCUGAAUUCCUGCUCCACUCGCUCCUUGAGCUGCCAAAAUCAAUGCAACAUUGAGUCUAACUGACUCCCGAAAGACAACCAAGUCAAAUCUGGUCUAAGUCAGAGUCCAGGUCAAAGUCAACCUCCCAGGUCAACCCUACUCGUCGAGUCUUCCUACUGACUCGCCGAGUUCAUGCGCUCAAAGUCCUUCCAAUCGCGACUUGAUUCGCCGAGUCAGUCCAUGACUCGUCGAGUCCAACGAUUUUUGAGUCCUGACCUGUCCAACUCACCGAGUCUCCACUCGACUCACUAAUUCGAGUCUUAACUCGAAGGGUUUGGGGUUUCGCGACCUGACUCGCCGAGUCCAAGAACAGACUCGCCGAGUCCAAGGCAAUCUUCAACCAACUCGCCGAGUUGUUCUUCAAACUCGCCGAGUUCCUGCCCAACUUCAUCUGACUCGAUGAGUUGUUCAUCCCACUCGUCGAGUUCCUCCAAAUCUUCAUGCCACUCGUCGAGUCCACUCAAAGGACUCGCCAAGUCCAUUCAGACCUCCAUACAUGCAGAGGACUUUUGAGUCAUGCAUGGACUCCAAACUGUAGAUCUACCCUUCCCAAGCCUAUUCCUCACGUAAAGUUGCAAACUUUACGUGUAGAGAAGGAGAUCUAGGCAAAAUACACCAUAAACUAGGGUUUAAGGCAAGGAGGCUCCAUAAUCANNNNNNNNNNNNNNNNNNNNNNNNNNNNNNNNNNNNNNNNNNNNNNNNNNNNNNNNNNNNNNNNNNNNNNNNNNNNNNNNNNNNNNNNNNNNNNNNNNNNNNNNNNNNNNNNNNNNNNNNNNNNNNNNNNNNNNNNNNNNNNNNNNNNNNNNNNNNNNNNNNNNNNNNNNNNNNNNNNNNNNNNNNNNNNNNNNNNNNNNNNNNNNNNNNNNNNNNNNNNNNNNNNNNNNNNNNNNNNNNNNNNNNNNNNNNNNNNNNNNNNNNNNNNNNNNNNNNNNNNNNNNNNNNNNNNNNNNNNNNNNNNNNNNNNNNNNNNNNNNNNNNNNNNNNNNNNNNNNNNNNNNNNNNNNNNNNNNNNNNNNNNNNNNNNNNNNNNNNNNNNNNNNNNNNNNNNNNNNNNNNNNNNNNNNNNNNNNNNNNNNNNNNNNNNNNNNNNNNNNNNNNNNNNNNNNNNNNNNNNNNNNNNNNNNNNNNNNNNNNNNNNNNNNNNNNNNNNNNNNNNNNNNNNNNNNNNNNNNNNNNNNNNNNNNNNNNNNNNNNNNNNNNNNNNNNNNNNNNNNNNNNNNNNNNNNNNNNNNAAUAAUAGACUCGGUUCACCCUGACCCUGAACAUCCUGGAAACACAACUUACUUACCGACAAUCCUUCUGGUACUCACCGAGUACUGCACUGAACCUAUAGGGGUUCACCCCUUCUUUCCUUGCACAAUUCCUUGCCUUCCCAAGGCAAAGCUCCAUAACCAACUAUUCCUUCUGUCACUGUGAAGGCCCUAUCCUUCACCAACUCCAUCACCCCCGCUAUUUCCAGUACGGGUCAUAUCCGUCAGUAACCACUGACACCUCCUCUCUGCCAAAACUUGGUGCCGAGCACCCCUCGAUUCAAGUAACUGAAUUCCACCAUACGCUGCUUACCCGCAAUACCACUGACUGAAAAUUCUGCUAUUCCUUGUCUGCCUUCCGGAUGAACUGAGACCACCCUGGUCCCUACCAACCUAUCAAUGACUGGAUUACCGGCUCCCACCGGUAGUUGACCCAACACAACUACUAGUCGCUCCCAGGGACUUCCGAAGAAACUUCGACCACCUAUAACUGCUCAAUCUAUUCUGCUAUUCAGGCACUACAAACAUGGGAUCCCCGAUCCCCUAACUUGACACUAAGGUCCCUACCAGAUCCCACCUGCGCUGCUAAGACCCACGGGCCUCGCCCACGGGUCCCACCCGUCUCUAUCCUUCUAGUCCCACUAGUCUAAUCACUCUCGCUCGGGCCUCGCCCACGGGUCUCACCCCAACCAUAUCCUGGAGCAGCCUCUCCCAAGGUCUCACCUCUCUAGAGCUAAAUAGGCAAACUCCCUAUCAUUCUCAUCCACUACCCAUUCCUGAUCCCUGACCGAUCACUAGGAGGUAAGGGCCUCGCUCCAACUCCGCUAUCGAAGCUACUAAGGAAUGCUAUGGCUGCCCCGUAGUCUGACAACACUUCCGCCACUAACUGCUAAUACGAAGGCACCCAUGUGCCAUUAGCUCUCAAGAUCCUCAUUCUGACUCCCUCGAGUCCUACGGGCGAUCCACAACCUGAAUUCCCAACCACGUACUAACCAUUACCAUCACACGCACUAGUUGUUGGGGAGUUUCUCAAACUCCCAACCCUGAAAUCCUCAAUCCAUCAAAUGCUGAACUACCUCUUUUCCUUCUCGGAGGUUGCACCCUCAUUCUGGAUCUGCGUGCUCCUACCUUUUCACACUCGGAGGAUUCUCCCCCACUUCGAUCCUGCUUACCCCUUGUUGCUCAAUACUCAAAAGAAAUCCUUGCUACCAUUUCAUAAUCAAUCUGCUGAGGGACCCGUGCUUACCAUAGCUAGGGAUCUAACCAAUCCAUUUCUAACACUAUACAACUCCGAUCUUUUCAAUACUCAAAAGAAAUUCUUUUUAAAUGCUUUUAAAAAGAAUGUCUUGAAGGCAAAAACGUUUUUGAAAGUAAAGAAUGUUUUGGAAGAACAAAUGUUUUGAUAUGUGAAAUGUAUCUUUUCAAAGUAUAUUUUUCUAGUAACAUAUGCUAUUGAAAAUUAUGAUAUGUGUAUUGAUAAUGGGGAAUAUGAAAGCUAAAAAAAAAAAGUAAAAAGACACAAUGAAAACUACUCGGACCAUGAUACCUCAUAAGAGGCACUAGAGAAAUCUAUCGGGAUGACACCUCCCUCUUGCGAGAUAGAUGUCCUAAUUGAUAUGAUGCCUUGAUAAAUUGAGUUGCUCUUUCCACAUUAGUCUAGACUUGGGAGUGG